UUCGUGAAGUUAUCAUA
RNAcentral lists this small RNA (17 nucleotides) under Arabidopsis thaliana (thale cress). RNAcentral's name for it is "ATSL026270". The record is from RNAcentral. Lineage: Eukaryota; Viridiplantae; Streptophyta; Magnoliopsida; Brassicales; Brassicaceae.